AGUGCAAUCUGGGCGAUCGCUUCCUGGUCCUCGCCUCCUCCGCUGUCUCCCUGGAGUUCUUGCAAGUCGGCCAGGAUGUCUCAGCACAGGGCAGGACGUCGCGGCGGAGUGGGGAAGCGAGGAGUCCGUGGCCGAGAGCUUGGAGGCUGAGUUUGAGAAAGCUGCAGAGGAGGUUAGGCACCUUAAGACCAAGCCAUCGGAUGAGGAGAUGCUGUUCAUCUAUGGCCACUACAAACAAGCAACUGUGGGCGACAUAAAUACAGAACGGCCCGGGAUGUUGGACUUCACGGGCAAGGCCAAGUGGGAUGCCUGGAAUGAGCUGAAAGGGACUUCCAAGGAAGAUGCCAUGAAAGCUUACAUCAACAAAGUAGAAGAGCUAAAGAAAAAAUACGGGAUAUGAGAGACUGGAUUUGGUUACUGUGCCAUGUGUUUAUCCUAAACUGAGACAAUGCCUUGUUUUUUUCUAAUACCGUGGAUGGUGGGAAUUCG
Molecule: unclassified non-coding RNA, 489 nt
Filed under: Homo sapiens (human)
Lineage: Eukaryota; Metazoa; Chordata; Mammalia; Primates; Hominidae
Description: DBI
Source: RNAcentral